This 379-nucleotide ribosomal RNA is filed under the name uncultured organism. RNAcentral describes it as "partial 23S ribosomal RNA". It matches the Rfam family "Bacterial large subunit ribosomal RNA", at positions 2105 to 2486 of the family's 2925-position model. The record is from RNAcentral.
UGUAAUCUGCUGUGCUCGGGCUCUUAUGCGCAGGAUAGGUGGGAGGCUUUGAUCCUUUGUUUGCGGGUGAUGGUGAGCCACUGGUGAGAUACCACUCUUUAAGAGCUAGAAUUCUAACGGUCAUCCUUUUUCCGGGGAGCUUGCCGUUUUCAGAGGGGCAUUUUGACUGGGGCGGCCCCCCCAAAAAAGGAAACUGAGGCGGAAAAAGGUUCCUUCGGAAUGGUGGGAAAUCAUUCAGAAAGGAUAAAGGUAAAAGGGAGCUUGACUGAAAAACCUACAAUUCAAACAGGGGCAAAGUCCGGUCUUAGGGUUCCAACGGUGCCGCGGGAAAGGGCCGCCCUUCAACGAUUAAAAUUUACUCUAGGAAUAACGGGUUAAA